GCCGGCUUAGCUCAGUGGUUUAGAGUGCUCCUUUCCGGUACGCUUGACCUUUCAUUAGGCGAGCGAUGGAUGGGAGAAGUCGUCAGUUCGAACCUGGCAGUUGGCU
Violaceomyces palustris is the source of this 106-nucleotide non-coding RNA. NCBI's taxonomy places the organism in Eukaryota, Fungi, Basidiomycota, Ustilaginomycetes, Violaceomycetales, Violaceomycetaceae. The record is from the annotation of a GenBank genome assembly.